Molecule: ribosomal RNA, 351 nt
Filed under: uncultured bacterium
Lineage: Bacteria
Description: bacterial SSU rRNA
Rfam family: Bacterial small subunit ribosomal RNA
Source: RNAcentral
AGAGUUUGAUCAUGGCUCAGGAUGAACGCUAGCUACAGGCUUAACACAUGCAAGUCGAGGGGAAACGACAUCGAAAGCUUGCUUUUGAUGGGCGUCGACCGGCGCACGGGUGAGUAACGCGUAUCCAGCCUGCCCAUCACUUGGGGAUAACCUUGCGAAAGUAAGACUAAUACCCAAUGAUAUCUCUAGAAGGCAUCUGAAAGAGAUUAAAGAUUUAUCGGUGAUGGAUGGGGAUGCGUCUGAUUAGCUUGUUGGCGGGGUAACGGCCCACCAAGCAACGAUCAGUAGGGGUUCUGAGAGGACGGUCCCCCANAUUGGAACUGAGACACGGUCCAACUCCGUACGGGAGCA